GUAGUCUGCAACCCGACUACAUGAAGCUGGAAUCGCUAGUAAUCGCGGAUCAGAAUGCCGCGGUGAAUACGUUCCCGGGUCUUGUACACACCGCCCGUCACACCAUGGGAGUCGGAAAUGCCCGAAGUCUGUGACCCAACCUUAGGGAGGGAGCAGCCGAAGGCAGGUCGGAUGACUGGGGUGAAGUCGUAACAAGGUAGC
This 201-nucleotide ribosomal RNA is filed under the name uncultured bacterium. RNAcentral describes it as "partial 16S ribosomal RNA". It matches the Rfam family "Bacterial small subunit ribosomal RNA", at positions 1300 to 1500 of the family's 1533-position model. The record is from RNAcentral.